AACGAACGCUGGCGGCAGGCUUAACACAUGCAAGUCGAGCGCCCCGCAAGGGGAGCGGCAGACGGGUGAGUAACGCGUGGGAACGUACCUUUUGGUUCGGAACAACUCCGGGAAACUGGAGCUAAUACCGGAUAAGCCCUAACGGGGAAAGAUUUAUCGCCGAAAGAUCGGCCCGCGUCUGAUUAGCUAGUUGGUGAGGUAACGGCUCACCAAGGCGACGAUCAGUAGCUGGUCUGAGAGGAUGAUCAGCCACACUGGGACUGAGACACGGCCCAGACUCCUACGGGAGGCAGCAGUGGGGAAUAUUGGACAAUGGGCGCAAGCCUGAUCCAGCCAUGCCGCGUGAGUGAUGAAGGGCUUAGGGUUGUAAAGCUCUUUUGUCCGGGAAGAUAAUGACUGUACCGGAAGAAUAAGCCCCGGCUAAUUUCGU
Molecule: ribosomal RNA, 430 nt
Filed under: uncultured bacterium
Lineage: Bacteria
Description: partial 16S ribosomal RNA
Rfam family: Bacterial small subunit ribosomal RNA
Source: RNAcentral